RNAcentral lists this ribosomal RNA (700 nucleotides) under uncultured bacterium. RNAcentral's name for it is "bacterial SSU rRNA". It matches the Rfam family "Bacterial small subunit ribosomal RNA", at positions 8 to 705 of the family's 1533-position model. The record is from RNAcentral.
AGAGUUUGAUCCUGGCUCAGGAUGAACGCUAGCGACAGGCUUAACACAUGCAAGUCGAGGGGUAGCAGGGUAGCAAUACCGCUGACGACCGGCGCACGGGUGAGUAACGCGUAUCCAAUCUACCUGUAACUCGGGGAUAGCCUUUUGAAAGAAAGAUUAAUACCCGGUAAUACUGAGGGUGAGCAUUCAUAUUCAGUUAAAGAUUUAUCGGUUACAGAUGAGGAUGCGUCCCAUUAGAUAGUUGGUAGGGUAACGGCCUACCAAGUCUGCGAUGGGUAGGGGUUCUGAGAGGAAGGUCCCCCACAUUGGAACUGAGACACGGUCCAAACUCCUACGGGAGGCAGCAGUGAGGAAUAUUGGUCAAUGGGCGUAAGCCUGAACCAGCCAAGUCGCGUGAAGGAUGACUGCCCUAUGGGUUGUAAACUUCUUUUUUAGGGGAAUAAAGUGAGUCACGUGUGACUUUUUGUAUGUACCCUACGAAUAAGCAUCGGCUAACUCCGUGCCAGCAGCCGCGGUAAUACGGAGGAUGCGAGCGUUAUCCGGAUUUAUUGGGUUUAAAGGGUGCGUAGGCCGACUUUUAAGUCGGCGGUGAAAUUUUCCGGCUCAACCGGGACAUUGCCGUUGAAACUGAUAGUCUUGAGUGUAAAUGAGGUAGGCGGAAUGUGUGGUGUAGCGGUGAAAUGCUUAGAUAUCACACAGA